UUUUUUUUUUCUGGAACAUUUCCUCAAUUUUAUCUCUCAAUCAUUGGUUGAAUUUUUAUUUUGACUACAAAAUAUGUUUAAUAGUAGAUUGUUCUUAUUUUAGGGACCUAAAAUUGUCCUCUUACUUUCCCAAAGAAAGUAAUUAUAGGUUUAAAAUUGUAGUCAUUCUGUUCUCAGGAUUGUCUUUGUUUUCUUCCAAACUUCAAAAUACCUCUCUUUGGUUUUGGUCUUUGCUUUCAUAUUGGACACCAGCUACUUGUGAUCAUGUGACAGUGCUGGCCAGUGAGCCACAGAGGAAGGCAGCGAAGAACUGGAUGGGAAGCUUUUCCUCUGUGGUCACAGCUUGCCUGCCUGGAGUCUGUCUUCCCUCUUGGCCUCGUCUGCUUUGCAUCUUACCACCGAGUCACACUAAUGACACAGAUGUGGUUAACAGCACAGACCACAGGAUGGUGCAGAGUUUUCUCCUCUUGCUUUGGUGAACUUAAUUUAUUUGUUUAUUUGUUUUAAGGAGGCUUCAUGCCAGCUUGGAGCCCAACACGGGCCUUGAACUCAUGACUCUGAGAUCCUGACUUGAGAUCAAGAGUUGGACGCUAACUGCCUGAGCCCCCCAGGCUCCCCUUCUGGGAACUUUAUUCAGUGAAGCAAGCCCACACCGUGUUUGCUUCAGUGAGGGGAAGCAGCGGUGUGGGGAGUGCAGGAAAUCAGCCUGUCCAUGGUUUUGGUGCAGACUGAGAUCGUAGUAAACUGAACGUCCUAGGCCUUUGUCAUGAGAUCAGCUAUUUUGGUAUACUUGGUAUUCUGAACCUGUGAGCCAGACUUUACAUUUAUCCUGAUUAAAUUUCAAAUGUUAGAUUUUUGUCCAUUAUUCCAGCCUGUCAAGAUAUUUUCCAAUCUUAAUUCAAUCACUGGGGAUAGCGUUUAUCCCUCUGAGCUCCUGAUAAGCCACCAUCUCGGCAUCACAGCAUCGCAGCGACAACACCAGACGGAAAUGGACAGCACCUCUGUGCUCACUGCUGCUGCUCUGCUCAGGUAAAGAAAAAACGGAUGGUGGAAGGAGCGCUAACCAAGGAUUUUUUAAAAAAGAUUUUAUUUAUUUAUUCAUGAGAGAUGCAGAGAGAAAGAGGCAGAGACAUAGGCAGAGGGAGAAGCAGACUCCCUGCAGGGAACUCAAUGCAAGACUUGAUCCCAGGUCUCCGGGAUCGUGAUCUGAGCUGAAG
Molecule: long non-coding RNA, 1217 nt
Filed under: Canis lupus familiaris (dog)
Lineage: Eukaryota; Metazoa; Chordata; Mammalia; Carnivora; Canidae
Description: lncRNA (ENSCAFG00000056666.1, ENSCAFG00845022641.1)
Source: RNAcentral